RNAcentral lists this non-coding RNA (28 nucleotides) under Homo sapiens (human). The record is from RNAcentral. Lineage: Eukaryota; Metazoa; Chordata; Mammalia; Primates; Hominidae.
UAAUUUUGCAGGAUAAUUCCUUGGAUGC